Molecule: ribosomal RNA, 460 nt
Filed under: uncultured bacterium
Lineage: Bacteria
Description: partial 16S ribosomal RNA
Rfam family: Bacterial small subunit ribosomal RNA
Source: RNAcentral
CCUACGGGCGGCAGCAGUGAGGAAUAUUGGUCAAUGGGCGUAAGCCUGAACCAGCCAAGUCGCGUGAGGGAUGAAGGUUCUAUGGAUCGUAAACCUCUUUUAUAAGGGAAUAAAGUGCGGGACGCGUCCCGUUUUGAAUGUACCUUAUGAAUAAGGAUCGGCUAACUCCGUGCCAGCAGCCGCGGUAAUACGGAGGAUCCGAGCGUUAUCCGGAUUUAUUGGGUUUAAAGGGUGCGUAGGCGGGCUUUUAAGUCAGCGGGGAAAGUCCGGGGCUCAACCAUAGAAUUGCCGUUGAAACUGGGAGGCUUGAGUAUGUUAGAGGCAGGCGGAAUGCGUGGUGUAGCGGUGAAAUGCAUAGAUAUCACGCAGAACCCCGAUUGCGAAGGCAGCCUGCCAGGCCAUGACUGACGCUGAUGCACGAAAGCGUGGGGAUCGAACAGGAUUAGAUACCCGGGUAGUC